CAGCAUCAUGACAGUACUUUGUCCUGCCUGAUAAGUAUAAAUAGGGGGAAACUCUAGCAAAUAAGGGGAAACCUUUCCCUUCUGCCUGUGCACAGUUACCAAGAGAUCGGUAAACAAACACUGGACUCAUUUGCUUAAGUUGGACUGGAGUUUGGUGGCUCUCACUUUGAGGAUUAUGUGCUGCUGUGCCUUCAGCAAAGAUCUGCAGAGGUGCAUCUGCUGCAGCUUCCAAUGACUAUGAUUCAACUGUUAUUCAGAACAGCUGUCUACCUUCAAAAGAAAAGAAAAACCUUCUAGAUAUCUGUAUCUGCUUCUGUUGACUAUAACCAAAAGAUGGCAGCAUUCCAUUGGACACUGCUACACAGGCCAUAAAGCUGUGCACAAGCUGCAAUUGUCCAAACCCUUCAAGACGAAGCAAAACCUGUUAUUUCUAAUUGUGCUCAUUAGGCUUUUCAUCAUAAUUCUUGCUAUUCCAAAGCUUAUAUUGCAUGAUUAAGAAUAAUUAUUAUCUCAUGAAUAUGCUUUUUCUCACAAAACUUUACUAAAAUUGCCUGCCU
Mauremys reevesii (Reeves's turtle) is the source of this 557-nucleotide long non-coding RNA. RefSeq lists it as uncharacterized. The transcript is spliced from 4 exons. The record is from RefSeq and is a predicted model, not a curated record. Lineage: Eukaryota; Metazoa; Chordata; Testudines; Geoemydidae.